GGAGUCCUAAGGAAAGCUGCUAACUAUCCUAUAGCAAUAAUUUGUUAGACCCCCCC
RNAcentral lists this transfer RNA (56 nucleotides) under Agonoscena pistaciae. RNAcentral's name for it is "tRNA-Ser". Lineage: Eukaryota; Metazoa; Arthropoda; Insecta; Hemiptera; Aphalaridae. The record is from RNAcentral.